CAAUAGCGUAUAUUAAAGUUGUUGCAGUUAAAAAGCUCGUAGUUGGAUUUGUGGCGUACGGUGUGUUCCGGGCACUUGUUGUCUGAGUAACCUGCUGUUGCCAUCCUUGGGUGGAACCUGUGUGGCAUUAGGUUGUCGUGCAGGGGAUGCUCAUCAUUUACUGUGAAAAAAUUAGAGUGUUCAAAGCAGGCUUAUGCCGUUGAAUAUAUUAGCAUGGAAUAAUGAGAUAGGACUUUUUUGCUAUUUUGUUGGUUUGCGCAAGAAGGUAAUGAUUAAUAGGGACAGUUGGGGGUAUUCGUAUUCCAUUGUCAGAGGUGAAAUUCUUGGAUUUUUGGAAGACGAACUACUGCGAAAGCAUUUACCAAGGAUGUUUUCAUUAA
RNAcentral lists this ribosomal RNA (380 nucleotides) under uncultured eukaryote. RNAcentral's name for it is "partial 18S ribosomal RNA". It matches the Rfam family "Eukaryotic small subunit ribosomal RNA", at positions 592 to 976 of the family's 1831-position model. The record is from RNAcentral.